UCGGAGAGUUUGAUCCUGGCUCAGGACGAACGCUGGCGGCGUGCCUAAUACAUGCAAGUCGAGCGAAUCKMWGGGAGCUUGCUCCCUGAGAUUAGCGGCGGACGGGUGAGUAACACGUGGGCAACCUGCCUAUAAGACUGGGAUAACUUCGGGAAACCGGAGCUAAUACCGGAUACGUUCUUUUCUCGCAUGAGAGAAGAUGGAAAGACGGUUUACGCUGUCACUUAUAGAUGGGCCCGCGG
This 242-nucleotide ribosomal RNA is filed under the name Bacillus sp. BA3. RNAcentral's name for it is "partial 16S ribosomal RNA". It matches the Rfam family "Bacterial small subunit ribosomal RNA", at positions 1 to 236 of the family's 1533-position model. Lineage: Bacteria; Bacillati; Bacillota; Bacilli; Caryophanales; Bacillaceae. The record is from RNAcentral.